ACGGCUCAGUAACACGUAGAUAAUUUGCCCUUAGGUGGAGGAUACCCUCGGGGAACUGAGAAUAAUACUCCAUAGAUCUAGUCUGCUGGAAUGCUUUUAGAUCGAAAGAUUUAUCGCCUAAGGAUAAGUCUGCGGACUAUCAGGUUGUAGUCAGGGUAAAGACCUGACUAGCCUACGACGGAUACGGGUAGUGAGAGCUUUAGCCCGGAGAUGAUAUCUGAGACACGAUAUCAGGCCCUACGGGGCGCAGCAGGCGCGAAAACUUCGCACUGUGCGAAAGCACGACGAGGGAAUCCCAAGUGCUGGCUCGUAAGAGUCAGCUGUUUCUCUGUCUAAAACGCAGAGAGAGUAAGAGCUGGGUAAGACGGGUGCCAGCCGCCGCGGUAAUACCUGCAGCUCAAGUGGUGGCCGCUAUUAUUGGGCCUAAAACGUCCGUAGCCGGUUCUAUAAAUGCCUGGGUAAAUCGUACGGCUUAACCGUACGAAUUCCGGGUAGACUGUUCAACUUGGGACCGGAAGAGGCUAGAGGUACUCCUGGGGUAGAGGUGAAAUNUCUGUAAUCCUAGGGGGACCACCAGUGGCGAAGGCGUCUAGCUAGUACGGGUCUGACGGUGAGGGACGAAGCCCUGGGGCGCAAACGGGAUUAGAUACCCCGGUAGUCCAGGGUGUAAACGCUGCUUGCUUGAUGUUAGUCGGGCUCCGAGCCCAACUAGUGUCGGAGAGAAGUUGUUAAGCAAGCUGCCUGGGGAGUACGGCCGCAAGACUGAAACUUAAAGGAAUUGGCGGGGGAGCAC
Molecule: ribosomal RNA, 793 nt
Filed under: uncultured archaeon
Lineage: Archaea
Description: bacterial SSU rRNA
Rfam family: Archaeal small subunit ribosomal RNA
Source: RNAcentral